UGGACCGAUGAUGACUACUGGUGGCGUAUGAGUCGUACGAUGACUACGUCUGUAAUCUGAGGUCGAU
This is a small nucleolar RNA of Microcebus murinus (gray mouse lemur), 67 nucleotides long. The record is from Ensembl. Lineage: Eukaryota; Metazoa; Chordata; Mammalia; Primates; Cheirogaleidae.